CAUGCCUCAUGGCAUAUUUUAAAAGUAGAAAAUGCAGACUAAAGGAGGGAACAUGUAGCUGUGAUGAGAGGUUGGACUGACCUCUUAACUUUCCGAGAAGCCUUAGUUCUUGAAGGGUUGUGCCCCUGAGCCCAAGGAGAGUGGAAAUGACAGGGAGUGUGUCUUCCUGGCUCUUACCCACCACUGCAAGUGGGAAGCGUGGGCUUUGCUUGCUGGUGACAUCAUUCUGCAGGCUGGUGGCACUCUUAGUAUCCUUAGGCUGUUGCUGCGGGUGAUUGGGAAGAGAGGUCAGCGUUUGUUCUCAUUUGUGGGAGCUGGCA
Long non-coding RNA from Peromyscus maniculatus bairdii (prairie deer mouse), 320 nucleotides. RefSeq lists it as uncharacterized. The record is from RefSeq and is a predicted model, not a curated record. NCBI's taxonomy places the organism in Eukaryota, Metazoa, Chordata, Mammalia, Rodentia, Cricetidae.